RNAcentral lists this non-coding RNA (822 nucleotides) under Petaurillus kinlochii (Selangor pygmy flying squirrel). RNAcentral describes it as "partial 12S ribosomal RNA". It matches the Rfam family "Bacterial small subunit ribosomal RNA", at positions 33 to 1383 of the family's 1533-position model. The record is from RNAcentral. Lineage: Eukaryota; Metazoa; Chordata; Mammalia; Rodentia; Sciuridae.
UUGCCUAUAGUAAGCUUACACAUGCAAGCAUCCACGUCCCAGUGAGAAUGCCCUCUAUAUCAUAAUUUGAUCAAAAGGAGCAGGCAUUAAGUUCACUACUAUAUAGCAGCUCACAACGCCUUGCUCAACCACACCCCCACGGGAUACAGCAGUGAUUAAACUUAAGCGCAUAAACGAAAGUUUGACUAAGCUACGCUAUGAUAGAAUUGGUAAAUUUCGUGCCAGCCACCGCGGUCAUACGAUUAAUCCAAGUUAAUAAAGCGCGGCGUAAAGUGUGGUUAAGGGCAGAUAUAGAAUAAGACUGAGCUUAGACUAAGCUGUAAAAAGCCCUAGUCAUAAUAAAAAUAUAAUACGAAAGUAGCCUUACCUUUCCUGAACCCACGAUAGCUAAGACCCAAACUGGGAUUAGAUACCCCACUAUGCUUAGCCCUAAACACAAAUACUUAACCAACAAAAUUAUUCGCCAGAGUACUACUAGCUAUUGCUUAAAACUCAAAGGACUUGGCGGUGCUUUACAUCCCUCUAGAGGAGCCUGUUCUGUAAUCGAUAAACCCCGAUAAACCUCACCACCUUUUGCAAUAUUCAGCCUAUAUACCGCCAUCUUCAGCAAACCCUAACAAGGUACUGCAGUAAGCACAAGAAUCACACAUGAAAACGUUAGGUCAAGGUGUAGCCUAUAGGGUGGUAAGAAAUGGGCUACAUUUUCUAAUUCUCUAGAACAGAAAUCUAAAACGAUAGCUUAUAUGAAACUACCCAAGCCUAAGGCGGAUUUAGUAGUAAGCUAGGACUAGAGUGCCUGGCUGAACAGGGCAAUAAAGCACG